GGGGGGGGGGCACUAACACGUAUCAGUCCAGAACAAAGGUAAAAACUACCAACCCACAGUUUUUCUUGAACUUCAAGAAGCACUGGAUUUCUUUCACAGAAGAAAGGGGUUUAUUGUUCUACACUGUAAACCAAAGAAAAGAUUAUCUUUGCAAGAAAAUGCUUUUCAAAGUCACCUCUAACAGCAACGGAUAGGAGAAAAGCAAAGGUACCAUUGCAAAAGUUUUGGUUAACUCCUCGGUGAACGGAUGACAACCGGCUUGAUCUAAGAUGCCCCCAAACAGACAGACACAAAGAAAUCACGGCAAUUCUAAAGCAAACACCAGCACCACACUCCAAUCUACCGGAAAUUCUGCGGUUAAUUUGAGGCUUGCCCCGCUAGUCAUAAGGUGAUUCAGCGAUGGUUACAAACGCUCUCCAAGUACAUCCUUGGGAGUCACCUAGCACACCUGGCUAGCCCAUCACCUGCCUGGAGCGCGGCCCUGCGGAGAAUCCCGGGGGCCAAAUCAAGACGCCAACUUCGCAAGUAAGGGGUGCGGGCGGUCUCACUCCAUCAGGACACCCAAAGAGAACGAUCUUCUGGCCUCCAGGGUGGGGGUGAAAGGCAUCAUCUGGCUCCUGUACAAUGAAUCAACUCAAGGAAAUCAAGGAAUCAAAUCAAGGAAAGGUAGAAAUUGGGUGAUCAGUCAGAAGCUAUUGAGAUAUGAUGAUGGCAUGGACUGGAGUGGGAAGAGCAAAAGGAUGAGAAGUGAGCAAAUGUGGAUAUGUUUUCAGCCAACAUAAUUCCCCUUCAGAUUGGCUAUGGGAUAAAGAGAGAGAAAUCAAAGUUGACGCUGGGAAUUGGGGGCUGGGCAACUAAAAGUUUAGAGUUGCCAUCUACUAUGACAGGGAAG
RNAcentral lists this long non-coding RNA (892 nucleotides) under Mustela putorius furo (domestic ferret). Its description in RNAcentral is "lncRNA (ENSMPUG00000031422.1)". Lineage: Eukaryota; Metazoa; Chordata; Mammalia; Carnivora; Mustelidae. The record is from RNAcentral.